AAGACUGGAAUAACCUCCGGGAAACCGGGGCUAAUGCCCGGAUAAUAUGUUGGACCGCAUGGUCCUACAGUGAAAGACGGUCUUGCUGUCACUUAUAGAUGGACCCGCGCCGUAUUAGCUAGUUGGUAAGGUAACGGCUUACCAAGGCAACGAUACGUAGCCGACCUGAGAGGGUGAUCGGCCACACUGGAACUGAGGACACGGUCCAGACUCCUACGGGAGGCAGCAGUAGGGAAUCUUCCGCAAUGGGCGAAAGCCUGACGGAGCAACGCCGCGUGAGUGAUGAAGGCCUUCGGGUCGUAAAACUCUGUUAUUAGGGGAGAACAAAUGUGUAAGUAACUAUGCACGUCUUGACGGUACCUAAUCAGAAAGCCACGGCUAACUACGUGCCAGCAGCCGCGGUAAUACGUAGGUGGCAAGCGUUAUCCGGAAUUAUUGGGCGUAAAGCGCGCGUAGGCGGUUUCUUAAGUCUGAUGUGAAAGCCCACGGCUCAACCGUGGAGGGUCAUUGGAAACUGGGAAACUUGAGUGCAGGAGAGGAAAGUGGAAUUCCAUGUGUAGCGGUGAAAUGCGCAGAGAUAUGGAGGAACACCAGUGGCGAAGGCGACUUUCUGGUCUGCAACUGACGCUGAUGUGCGAAAGCGUGGGGAUCAAACAGGAUUAGAUGACCCUGGUAGUCCACGCCGUAA
RNAcentral lists this ribosomal RNA (688 nucleotides) under uncultured Staphylococcus sp. RNAcentral describes it as "bacterial SSU rRNA". It matches the Rfam family "Bacterial small subunit ribosomal RNA", at positions 134 to 805 of the family's 1533-position model. The record is from RNAcentral. Lineage: Bacteria; Bacillati; Bacillota; Bacilli; Caryophanales; Staphylococcaceae.